UACGUAGGGAGCAAGCGUUGUCCGGAUUUACUGGGUGUAAAGGGUGCGUAGGCGGCUAAGUAAGUCAGAUGUGAAAUGCACGGGCUCAACCCGUGAGCUGCAUUUGAAACUGCAUAGCUUGAGUGAGGUAGAGGUAGGCGGAAUUCCCGGUGUAGCGGUGAAAUGCGUAGAGAUCGGGAGGAACACCAGUGGCGAAGGCGGCCUACUGGGCCUUAACUGACGCUGAGGCACGAAAGCGUGGGUAGCAAACAGGAUUAGAUACCCUGGUAGUCCACGCUGUAAACGAUGAUUACUAGGUGUGGGGGGUCUGACCCCUUCCGUGCCGCAGUUAACACAAUAAGUAAUCCACCUGGGGAGUACGGCCGCAAGGUUGAAACGCAAAGGAAUUGACGGGGGCCCGCACAAGCAGUGGAGUAUGUGGUUUAAUUCGAAGCAACGCGAAGAACCUUACCAGGUCUUGACAUCCAUUUAACGAAGCAGAGAUGCAUAAGGUGCCCUUCGGGGAAAGAUGA
RNAcentral lists this ribosomal RNA (512 nucleotides) under uncultured bacterium. Its description in RNAcentral is "bacterial SSU rRNA". It matches the Rfam family "Bacterial small subunit ribosomal RNA", at positions 524 to 1032 of the family's 1533-position model. The record is from RNAcentral.